This is a small nucleolar RNA of Rana temporaria (common frog), 131 nucleotides long. RefSeq annotates it as small nucleolar RNA SNORA63. The transcript has a single exon. The record is from RefSeq and is a predicted model, not a curated record. NCBI's taxonomy places the organism in Eukaryota, Metazoa, Chordata, Amphibia, Anura, Ranidae.
ACGCAGGUUAAGUUACAGUAUAGCUGUGAAGUGCUGUUCUGUCGUUCCCCCUGCAAAUAAUAAAUUGCUUCCUACUAUCCCUGUCUGUUCUGAAACAAAUACAGCCGACAGGGACGCUUGGUCUCAAACAA